AGAAAGGCUUACGGUAGAUACCUAGGCACCCAGAGACGAGAAAGGGCGUAGUAAUCAAUGAAAUACUUCGAGGAGUUAAAAAUAAGCAUAGAUCCGGAGAUUCCCGAAUAGGGCAACCUUUUGAACUGCUGUUGAAUCCAUAGGCAGGAAAGAGACAACCUGGAGAAUUGAAACAUCUUAGUAGCCAGAGGAAAACAAAGCAAAAAUGAUUCCCAUAGUAGCAGUGAAUGAAAUGGGAGCAGCCUAAAUCGUGAAAACGGGGUAGUAGGAUAGCAAUACAAGUGUUGUGCUGCUAGGCGAAGCAACUUGAAUGUUGCAACCUAGAUGGCAAAAUUUCAGUAGCCGAAAGCAUCACUAACUUACGCUCUAACCUGAAUAGCAUAGGGCACGUAGAAUAUUGUGUGAAUCAGCAAGGACCACCUUGCAAGGUUAAAUACUACUGGGUGACCAAUAGCAAAUUAGUACCGUGAGGGAAGGGUGAAAAGAACCCCCAUCAGUGAGUGAAAUAUAACAUAAAACUGUAAGCUCCCAAGCAGUGGGAGGAGCCAAGGCUCUGACCGCGUGCCUAUUGAAGAAUGAGCCAGUGACUCAUAGGCAGUAUCUUGGUUAAGGGAACCCACCAGAGCCGUAGCGAAAGUGAGUCUUCAUAGGGUAAUUGUCACUUCUUAUGGACCCAAAAUUGGGUGAUCUAUCCAUGACCAAGAUGAAUCUUGCGUGAAACUAAGUGGAGGUCCGAACCGAUCGAUGUUGAAGAAUCAGCGGAUAAGUUGUGGUUAGGAGUGAAAUGCCACUCGAACCCAGAGCUAGCUAGUUCUCCCCAAAAUGCAUUGAGGUACAGCAGUUGACUGGACAUCUAAGGGUAAAGAGCUAUUUUGGUGUGGGCCGCAGGAGUGGUACCAAAUCGAGGCAAACUCUGAAUACUAAGUAUGGCCUUAAAAUUAAAAAAGAGGGAUCAAAGUCAGCUAGUGAGAUGAUAGGGGAUAAGCUUCAUCGUUGAGAGGUAAACAACCCAGAUCACUAGCUAAGGCCCCUAAAUGGCUGCUUAGUGAUAAAGAAGGUAGGGGUGUGGAAACAGCCAGGAGGUUUGCCUAGAAGCAGUCAUCCUUGAAAGAGUGCGUAAUAGCUUACUGAUCGAGCGCUCUUGCACCAAAGAUGAACAGGGUUAAGCGAUCUGCCGAAGCUGUAGGGUGUAAAAAUACAUCGGUAGAGGAGCAUUCAGCCUUAGAGGAAAACCUCCGCGUGAGCGUUGGUGGAUGAAGCCGAAGAGAGAAUUUUGGCUUGAGUAAUGCAAACAUUGGUCAGAAUCCAAUGCCCCAAAAACGUAAGGUUUCCUCCGCAAGGUUCAUCCAUGGAGGGUAAGUCAGGGCCUAAGAUCUGGCCGAAAGGCGUAGUCGAUGGAAAAUAGGUGAAUGUUCCUGUACUACCCCUUGUUGGUCCCGAGGGACGAAGGAGGCUAGGUUAGCCGAAAGAUGGUUAUCGGUUCAAGAACGUAAGGUGUCCCUGCCUUUUCUUCAGGGUAAGAAAGGCUAGAGAAAAUUCCUCAAGCCAAUGUUCGAAUAUUGGGAGCUACGGCGCUGAAGUAACCCAUACCAUACUCCUACAAAAAGCUCAAACGACUUUGAGCAAAAGGGUACCUAUACUCGAAACCGAAAUAGGUGGGUAGGUACAGAAUACCUAGGGGCGCGAGACAACUCUCUCUAAGGAACUCGGCAAAAUAGCCCCAUAACUUUGCGAGAAGAGGUUCCUCUUCACAUCAUAAAGGGGUCACAGUGACCAGGCUCGGGCAACUAUUUACCAAAAGCACAGGUCUCCACACAGUCAUAAGACCAUGUAUGGGGGCUGACGCUUGCCCAGUGCUGGAAGGUCAACGAAGUUGGUGACCUAAUGAUAGGGGAGCCAAAAAUUAAAGCCUUGGUGAAUGGCAACCAUAACUAUAACGGUCCUAAGAUAGCAAAAUUCCUUGUCGGGUAAGUUCUGACCCGUACAAAAGGCGUAACGAUCUAGGCACUGUAUCGGAGAGAGGCUUGGUGAAAUAGACAUGUCUGUGAAGAUACAGACUACCUGCUCCUGGAAAGAAAGACCCUAUGAAGUUUCACUAUUCCCUAGGAUUGGCUUUGGGCCUUUCCUAUGCAGCUUAGGUGGCAGGCGAAGAAGGCCUUCUUUCGGAGGACCGAUCCAUCAGUGAGAUACCACUCUAGAAGGGAUAGAAUUAUAACCUUAUGUCAGGACCUACGGGCCAUAGGACAGUCUCAGGUAGACAGUUUCUAUGGGGUGUAGUCCUCCCAAAAGGUAAUGGAUACGUGCAAAGGUUUCCUCAGGCCGGACAGAGAUUGGCCCUCGAGUGCAAAGGCAGAUGGGAGCUUGACUGCAAGACCCACCCGUCGAGCAGGGNGCAAAGGUUUCCUCGGGCCGGACGGAGAUUGGCCUUCGAGUGCAAAGGUAGAAGGGAGCUUGACUACAAGACCCACCCGACGAGCAGGGAUGAAAGUCGGCCUUAGUGAUCCGACGGUACCUAGUGGAAGGGCUGUUGCUCAAUAGAUAAAAGUUACUCUAGGGAUAACAGGCUGAUCUUCCCCAAGAGCUAACAUCGAUGGGAAUAUUUGGCACCUCGAUGUCGGCUCUUCACCACCUGGGGCUGUAGUAUGUUCCAAGGGUUGAGCUGUUCACCCAUUAAAGCGGUAUGUGAGCUGGGUUUAGAACAUCGUGAGAUAGUUCAGUCUAUAUCCAGUAUAGGCAUUAGAGCAUUGAGAGGACCUUUCCCAAGUACGAGAGGACCAGGAAGGAUGCACCUCUGGUGUACCAGUUAUCGUGCCUAUGGUAAACGCUGGGUAGCCAAGUACGGAGCGGAUAACUGCUGAAAGUAUCUAAGUAGUAAGCCCACCCCAAGAUGAGUGCUCUCCUAUUCCGACUUUUCCAAAGCUUUCGGUAGCAUAGCCGAGACAGCGAUGGGUUCUCUGCCCCUGCGGGGAUAGAGCGACAAAAGCUUUUUUGAGAAUUCAAGAAAAUUUCAUGGCGAGACGAGCCAUUUAUCAUUACAAUAGGUAUCAAGUGGAAGUGCAGUGA
Molecule: ribosomal RNA, 3063 nt
Filed under: Capsicum chinense (habanero)
Lineage: Eukaryota; Viridiplantae; Streptophyta; Magnoliopsida; Solanales; Solanaceae
Description: bacterial LSU rRNA
Rfam family: Bacterial large subunit ribosomal RNA
Source: RNAcentral